RNAcentral lists this long non-coding RNA (508 nucleotides) under Elaeis guineensis (African oil palm). Its description in RNAcentral is "long non-coding RNA (EGUI_LNC001331)". Lineage: Eukaryota; Viridiplantae; Streptophyta; Magnoliopsida; Arecales; Arecaceae. The record is from RNAcentral.
CCCUUUUAUAGUUCAAAUGGGGCAUGUAGUUGUAGAUAUCCCAACAAUUAUUUUGGACGUUUCCAAUUCGGCUGCACUUUUUGCAGCUGCAACUGGUCUAUCUGCCAGCGAACAAAUAGCCCAGUCAGGCCAAGGACUAGCUGUAAACUUUUCCAGUAUUAAAUGUUUCUGGAUAUUUUGAUAUCCUGGCCAAUAUAACAAGACUAAGAUAAGGAAAUUUCAGAUACUGUAUCCCUCUCAAAAGAAAAGAAAAAGAAAUUUCAAUUGCUAUAGAAUAAUAGACAAGAUCAAUUGCCAUUUUAUCAGUUGAUCUUGGAGUUCAAUAUAUAUAUAUUUUAAAAAAAAAUCUUAUAUUAGUAGUUAAAGAACUUAUGAUGGGAUAACAAAAGAGAGAAAUUUUUGAUUGAUUUAUUGAUAUCAUAUUGGGUGAAACCUUGAGUUAGAGUGCCCAAACUAGUAAGCUAUGAUAUUUUCACAACUUCCAUCAAUGCUGAAUUCUGGCUUCUCC